This 615-nucleotide ribosomal RNA is filed under the name Macrolycus testaceicollis. RNAcentral's name for it is "partial 16S large subunit ribosomal RNA". It matches the Rfam family "Bacterial large subunit ribosomal RNA", at positions 1804 to 2716 of the family's 2925-position model. Lineage: Eukaryota; Metazoa; Arthropoda; Insecta; Coleoptera; Lycidae. The record is from RNAcentral.
UUAACAAAAACAUGUCCUUUUGAUUUUUAUUUAAGGUCUAAUCUGCUCAAUGAAAUUUAAAUUGCCGCAGUAUUUUAACUGUGCGAAGGUAGCAUAAUAAUUAGUUUCUUAAUUGGAAGCUGGAAUGAAUGAUUGGACGAGAAAGUUUCUGUCUCAUUUUAAUUUUUUAUUGAAUUUUAUUUUUAAGUUAAAAAGCUUAAAUAAAUAUGAAAGACGAGAAGACCCUAUAGAGUUUAAUAUUAAAUUUUAAUAAUACUUUAGUAAUAAAUUUUAGGUUUUAAUAUUUGGUUGGGGUGACUUGGAGAUUAAUUUAAUUCUCUAAAUUUUUAAUUGAUGAUGUUUAAUUUUAAAAUCUGUAAAUUAUAAAUAUAAAAAUAAUUACCUUAGGGAUAACAGCGUAAUUUUUCUUAAAAGUUCUUAUUUAAAGAAGAUUUUGCGACCUCGAUGUUGGAUUAAAAUUAAUUUUUGGUGCAGUAACUUAAAAAUUAGGUCUGUUCGACCUUUAAAAUUUUACAUGAUCUGAGUUUAAACCGGUGUAAGCCAGGUUGGAUUCUAUCUUUAAUUAAUUGAUUCAUUUUAGUACGAAAGGACCAAGUGUUUAUUAGAUAUUAAUUG